RNAcentral lists this long non-coding RNA (32603 nucleotides) under Solanum tuberosum (potato). RNAcentral's name for it is "long non-coding RNA (STUB_LNC006070)". The record is from RNAcentral. Lineage: Eukaryota; Viridiplantae; Streptophyta; Magnoliopsida; Solanales; Solanaceae.
UUUUUGGUGGCUUGUUCAGCCUUUUAUUGAAUAAUCAAACCAAAUAUGUACAAAGCCCAUGGCCCAUGGCCCAAACAAAACAAAGCAAAAAAUAGGAUGGGUCUACAAGACCCGAUCCAUUUACUAUCCAAUCCCUUACAAUUAGGGUAUAUGUUUCUUAUUGGAAAGUACUCCCAUGAACGAAAUUUCCCUACUUUGAUGCUGCCCUUCUGACUCUUGAUGUUCUUCCUCCAUUGUUCUCCAUGAUGAAGCUCAAUUUGCUCAGGUAAUGUUCUCUUCCAUUUUGCUUCAUUUCUUGUUUUAUCUACUCUCUUAAUCUUCCAUUUAUUUUCAGCUUGACUUAGCUCCAUUUCCAUGAUGAAGGAUCAACUUGUUGCUCUAAUCUGCACCGCAAUCCGCCUUGAUUGAAGCCUUUUAGCUGAGUUUGCUCCUCCUCGAUCUACAUAGCCCUUCCCCCCCCCCCCUUUUUUUUUUUUUUUACUACUCCUAUCUAUCAAAUACUGUGUGGUGAUCUUGUUGUUACUUUCUAGAAUAUUUGUGAAAAAGUGAUGUUCAUCGCCCUUCUCUGUUAAUGCUUGAUGUCGAAUGUAAUUAAUCUUGUGUGAUUUCUGGCCUGUCAUGGACUCAUUGUGGGAUGAUUGUGCGUGUUCUAAUUCUGAAUGUAGGAAUUUGAGCUUUGUCUGCGUUUAAAAUCCUUCUUUCCUUCAAUGGUAGUUCCUGGAAACAACUAUAUUGAUGUUCUGCCUGUGAUUCUAUAACUAUAUUAGCCAAUGAAUCUGCCAAACUAUUACCCUCUCUAAAUAUGUGUGUGAUCUUUGCUCUAAUCUUUUCCAUAAUCUCUCUGAUCUCUUCCACUUUUUCUGCUAUUUUCCAUGGAACCCUCCAAGACUGCUGAAUGAUUUUCUUGAGACUGAGUGAAUCAGUCUCAACAAUCACAUUCUGCAUUUUUCUGUUAAAACACUCUCUAAGGGCUGUUAAAAUGGCAACAGUUUCUGCUUCCAUAUUUGUUGCAAUUCCAAUACCUUUAGCUUUAGCAUAUAUUAGAUCCCCUUUAUCAUCUCUAAUACAAAACCCAAAAGAACUCCAACCAGGAUUACCUAUGCAUGCUCCAUCAAUGUUACACUUUACAUAAUGAUCUUCAGGAGGUUUCCAAGUGACCCUCAAGAAGUGUAUCUUUGGCUUGUACUGAUUGAGCCCUUGUAUUAUGUCUUGCCAAGUCCAUCUCAUAUUCUUUAUCCAUGGAAACUGAGUCUUCACCAUCUGCCUUACCACUUCUAUUGCCAUUUCCACCAUUAUUUCCCAACUGAUGUUACUUCCAUGUUUGAGGGCAUUUCUUCUCUUCCAUAAAGUCCACAUGAUGAUGGCUGGUAUUACUUUGAAUAUGCUCUGCAAUUUUGGUGUUGCCUCAUGUCUCCACCAAGCUAUUAUGAGUUGUUGAAGAUGCAUUCCAUCAAUAUUGAUUCCUGCAAAAUGAGCAAAGUACCUCCAUAGCUUGUAGGCUAUGGGGGCUGUUAGGAAUAAAUGUGUCAUUGUUUCCUCCUCUUUCUUGUCACAACACCAACAUCUGGACACUAUAUUGAUUCUCAUCUUUUUAAGAUUGUCAUCAGUGGCAAUCCUCCUUUUCCAUACUCUCCACAAGAAAAAAUUAAUCUUAAAAGGCAACCCCUUAUUCCAGAUUAGCUCAUAGUCUCUUCUAUUUUCAUGUUUGUUUCUCAUAAUCUGCCAAGCUGAUUUAACUGUGAAUCUUCCUUGUGCAUUUGCCAUCCACCAGGCCACAUCAUUUCCAAACAAAAUGUUUGGAGGUGAAAUGUUCUCCAUAAUAUGUUCAGUCAUUUCCAGUGACAGAUUCUGAAGCAACUUCUCCCUGUCCCACCCCUCUUCUGUACUGAACUCCUUAACCUCCACCUCCUCUUCCUUUGCAGCAUCUUCUAUAUGGUACAAUGCUCCUUGUUUGGUCCAAUUGUCAAACCAAAAACUCGAAUUACCUGCCUUAUUUUGCCACCAGAUUUCAUGCUCUACUUCCUCCCUUAUUGAUGUCAUUCUUCUCCAAACAUGAGAUGUCCCAUAUCCCUGAGCAAUAAUAGGGUGAUGCUUCUUACAGUAUUUGUUCCACAUAAAAGAUGCCCAUAAAGUGAUUGUGGAAGUUCUGAAGUUCCACCAGAGCUUGGCAAACAGGGCUUUUGAAACAUCAUGUAAUGAUCUCCAUCCCAAUCCUCCUUCCCCUCUUGGAUAGCACAUUCUGUCCCAGCUUACCCAGUGCUUGUUCUUGGCCCCAGUAGUGUUAGCCCAAAAGAACUUAGCAAAAAUUCUAUGCAGUUGGGUAAUGACACACGCUGGAGGGUUCAUGGCAGAAAGUACAUAUAUUGGCAAUGAUUGUAGUACAUUGGCUAUUAGGACAUAUCUUCCUCCAAAGGAGAGUAACCUAUUCUGCCAGGAGCUUAUUCUCUUCAUUACCUUUUUUAUCAAACUUUCAAAGUGAGUUUUGUUCUUCCUUCCAUAGAAAAUAGGACAUCCUAGAUAAGUGAAAGGAAAAGAUCCCUGCUUAAUACCUGUUAUUCUUUUUAUCUUCCUGCAUACACCAAGAGGCACAUUUUCAUGCAAAUAUAUAAAGCUCUUGUCUAGGUUUAUCAUCUGACCUGACACUUGUUCAUAUUCUCUCAACACCUUCAUCAUUUUCUUCAUUGAGUAUGACUGUCCUCUGCUGCUAUGAUAAACAAUGCUGGAGAAAGAGGAUCCCCUUGUUUUAAUCCUCUUGAAGAUUGAAAAAAACCAAAGCGCUGCCCAUUCAUAAUCACUGAGUACCAAUUGUUUGAUAUCAACCUUACCACCAUGUCAAUGAUUCUUUCUGAAAAUCCAAAACUCCUUAGCACCUUUGUGAGAAAUAUCCAAGACACUAUAUCAUAUGCUUUAGCCAUGUCCAAUUUCACCACCACAUUGUGAAGUUUAUUUCUCCUAUUUAUGUCCCUGAUGAUCUCCUGAGCUAGAAGCACAUUCUCUGUGAUGCUUCUCCCUUUCACAAACCCUGUUUGAUUCUGGGAUAUAAUAGAAGGUAGUACUUUGACUAAUCUAUCAUGUAACAGUCUUGACAUGAUCUUGUUAAUAAAUGUACUUAGGCUUAUUGGUCUCAAAUCACCAAAACUAUCCACCACCUCCUUUUUAGGAAUAAGAACCAAAUUGGUGUGAGUUAUAAACCUAGGAAGCUCCUGACCACAGAAAAAAGCUCUUACCAUGUUGACUAUGUCCCAUUUCACAGUAUCCCAACAACUCUGGAAAAAAUGUCCAGAGAAGCCAUCUGGUCCACUUGCACUAUCACCAUUUAAUGCAAAUACCACUUCUUUGAUCUCAUCUUCAGCUGGUAAUCUUCCUAUUUCUUUAUUCUGUUCUUCUGAUAUCAUUUUAGGUAUAUGUGCUAGCAUUGAAAAAUCUGUAGGCACAUAUGUCUCCUUAAAUUGUUCCUUGAACACAUUCACUGCCUCUUCCCCAAUACUUUGAGUGGUGGUUAUUGUAUCUCCUUGCCUGGUUUUUAUCACAGAUAUCUGCAUCUUUCUCCUUCUCCCAUUCACAAAAGCAUGAAAAAACUUUGUGUUUCUAUCACCAUCUUUAAACCAUCUCAUGCCUGUUUUUUGCUUCCAAUACUCUUCCUCAAUGUGCAGGUAUUCUUUUAGGUCUGCCUCAGAUUUCUUCAAUGUUGUCCUGUUUUCUUCUGAUGCAUUUAUUUCUAACUGAACCUCUUUGGCCCUUACUAAAUCCUCCAAUGUAGCUACCUGUUGAAAAAUAUUUCCAAAGGUUGUCCUACUCCAUUGCACCAAAGCCAAUUUCACCCUUUUCAUUUUGGUUUGCACUACUGUGAAUGGUGAGCCUGUUGCUUCCAUCUUCCAUACAUCCUCCACUAUUUUCUGAAAACUAUGAUGUUUUAUCCAGAAGUUGAGAAAUCUAAAAGGCUUAUAUAUUUGCUCCUGGCCUGUACUGCAAGUAACAUGUAGUGGGGCAUGAUCUGAACCCUCCCUGAUCAGAUGUUGGACUUUUGUAUUCUACAAUUCAGCCAUAAAUGCAUUAUUCCCAAAGACUCUGUCCAGUCUUUUAAAUAUACAAUCUUGCUCUAUUCUGCCAUUCCACCAGGUGUAACAACUUCCAGAGAAUUUUAUCUCAUUUAAUUCACAAGAGCUUAUGCAUUGUACAAAGUCCUCUACUUCUACUUGUGAGACAGGUAAUCCUCCUAACUUUUCAGACUCAUCAGCAAUAGUAUUGAAAUCUCCCCCUACCAUCCAAGGGCAAUCUGUGUUGCAAGCCACCUCUUCAAGGUCUUCCCACAGUUCCAUUCUCUCCAGGGCACUACAUCUAGCAUAAACUGCUGUAAUCUUGACUUGACCAUUAUUAUUUCUAUGUUUGAAAGAGACAGUAAUCUGCUGCACUGAGUCAAUACAAUCCAGCUCUUCCCACUCUUCAUCCCAAAACAACCAUAUUUUGGAAGAACAAUUAACUUUGGCAUGUUGUUUCCCAAGUCUUCUCCUGUAUCUAUCUAUUUCUGAAGGACUCUGAAAAGGCUCUAAGAGAGCAAUGUAUGAAUAGUGAUGUUUUCUAUUUAGAUCCAGUAGUCUCUCAAAAGAAUUUUGAGAUUUUACUGAUCUGAUAUUCCAAAAUAGAAUUUUACUAAUCAUUGAUCAAGACUUAAGGCCUUGCCCCUUCUAUUCUUUGUAUUAACAUAAGAUAUGCCCAAAUUGUUGUUCCUGUGAGUCCCAUAUCUUCCUUUCAAAUGUCCUAUAUGUCUUGGAGAUAAAUCUCCCUCUCUACUGAUGCAAAGUAUGUUAGCAUCCAUGUUUUCUUCUUCUUCUGUGUCUAGUUUUUUUUGUAUCUCUUGUGCCAUUUUCUUCUCAAUAUUAGGUGUGCUGAAACUAUCUGCUCCUCUCCUUGCCAAAUCAUCUUCCUUCUGCAAUUCCAGUGCAUUUAUCUUCCCUCUUUCCCUUUCCUUAUCAAUCAUUGCCUUGUUUGCCUCUAGUUGUGUCCCAUUGGAGCCUGUAUCUUUUUCAAUAGGAUUUUCUAAGCUAUCAAUUUGCUCCAAUCCCAUCUUGUUCUCUUUUAUGUGAAAAUUAGAGGACCAUGUCGCACUUUCUCUUCUAUUUCCCUCCUGUUGUGUUACUGCUUUCUGCUGAGCUGGUAAACUUUUAUUACCCUCAUCUGCUUGGUGUGUAAAAGUAUCUUGCUUAUCAUCUUCCCCUUCUAAUGCCCCAAAUUUAUUCUUUGUAGUCACCUCUGCAUUAACUUGGGAAGUUCUUACAUUCCAUACUUGUGCUGUCGUUCUAUUCUGAAUCUGAUACCCCUUUCUGUAACCAUACCUCCUCCAUUGUUCCCUGAAAUUUGUGUUCCUUUCUUUAUCCUCCUGCACUCUGUCACCUUGUUCCUGCUUUUCACCAUUAGCACAUUUUCCAUCAGCUUGAUUACCUCUUUCCCCCUUGUUUUCUUUGUUAUCUUGCUUCUGUUCUUUCUCUUCUGUCUGUUCAUCUUGUGGGAAAAGUUAUGGGUGAAUUACAUAACAGUCUUUCUCAUUGUGUCCAUGGAGCUUGCAAGUUUUGCAAUAUUUUGGAACAUAAUCAUAAUUGAUUGUCACCCAUUUUUCCAUGAUUUCCCCUGUCUUCUUCCUCAUUUCAAUAUUUAUUCUUUUUGGGAAUUCUCCCAACAGAUCCACCUCUACCUUUACCCUUGCACAACUAGGUUUUGUUUUAUUCUGAGUUGCCAGGUCUACCUGUAAUGGUCUUCCAACUGCUGCUGCCAUUGAAAAUAUUGUCUCCUUACCGAAAAAGUUCGGUGGCAAUGAUGGGAAAGAUAUCCAGGCUAUUGCGGUGGUCGUCUCCUCCUCUGGAUCAAACAAAGGGUCCCACUUCAGUGUUCGCAUUGGAUAGGACCAAUGAUUGUGAGUGAUGUAAAAUUGCGGCUUGGAUAACAGCUUCACAUAGUCCUCAAGUAGUGAUGCCCUGAUCAAUACAUAUCUGUUACACAGAAGCCCUAUGUCCACUUCCCCUUUUAGCUCACAUUGUUUUGGGAUUAACUUCCUCAGAUCUAGGAUAUCAGGCCAUCCAUAAGAAAAUUUUCCAAUCACUGCAUAUUGGAGGUCCUCGUUAAUAAUCAUCUGUUGUACUUCUUCCUCUUCUCAUACUAGCUUUGGUUCCCCAUGCAAAUAUGUUAAAGGCUUAAUCUGCAAACUAUGAUGUGGUUUUUUUGGUGCUACAAGAGUGUUUGCAUAUGAUAUUUUUAUAUCCUCUAAUGGUCCCUGCGUCUGGCCAACCUCAAUUGGCGGAGGCUGGCCGGUGGCCAUUGAAAACAGUAGGCAAAAUUAGGUUUUAGGCUUCUUGGUGUAGGGAAUUAGUUUUGCAAUCUGUUAUAGAUAUAAUAUUAUGUACAUAUAGAUUUAAAAAAAAUCUUUAAAGAUAUAUACUAAAGAUUUGAACACCCUUAACAAAAUUUCUAGCUUCACCACUAUUUCCAAUAGAACCUCAGCUCAAGUAAAGCAUCUCGAAGCACUUUAAAAAAGAGAAUACAUGAAGAUCUUUCUUUUUUAACAAUUCAUUUGAAGAUUAUUUUUUUUAAACAAUUCAUUUGAAGAUCAAAAAUAGAACAUCGAUCCAUUUGAAGAAUAAAACAUGUAAUUUUUUUGUUUGCUAAGGUUUUAAAAGUACUUCUUCGAAUGAUUUGUUUUUGUUUAGCUUCCGAAAAAUAGCUUGAACAGUAUGUCUGACUUUAAAUUAUCUUGUGAUUUAUUGAUGUCACUUGUUUGGAAAUAUUAAAAGUCACAAAAAUUCUCCUAGUUUGAUGUGUGUUUAUGGUAUCAUUCUUAAAGAUAUUUCAUCAUUGUAUGUGUAAUCUUCAGCAUUCAACAAGUUUUUUCAUUAUAAAACGAGAAGUCAAAAUCUGAUAAAAAUUUAAAUUUUUAAUAGAUCAGGCAGAAAGUGUAGUAUAGUUUGUUGUGUAAAGAAAGUGUACAAAUUAUUUUUUAAUGUCAAUUAAAAAAUGACAAUAAAGAGAGAAAACUAUAAUCUAUUUGCCAUAAUAAAUAUAUUAAAGACAAUUCAAUUUUGCAUUAAUUGACUACUGAACUGUAAAUGCAAAUAUUAGAAAAUGAAUAAUUCUUUUGAGAUGAUAAAGAAAUAUUCUUUUCAAUAACUUGUUCUCUUGUUAAUUAUUUUAUGUAUGACUUUUUUGUUAUUGUAUUUAUUUUAGAUAUUUAAUUUUUGAUAUUUGAAUCAAAGAUCUAUCAAAAUAAUCUCUUUAACUUAAUAUUGAUAGAGUGGGUUGAGACAAAAUCCACCAUGCCCUCACCCCACCCCAUUCCAUUACCAUCCCUAUUGACAUUAUAAGCAAAUUAAAAACCUUCAUCAAUUUGAGUCGGAAAGCAUAUAGGUUAUUUGAGUCUUUGCUUAAUGUUUUUUUUUAUUAUAAGAGAAUAGGUCCAAAUAUAUUCUUGUGUUAUAUAAUUUUGUACUAAACAAUUUAGAGUUAAUGUACCUUUGAUUAAAAUAGUUUUACAUUUAUACUUUGUUACACAAAUGGCUCAAUAUAUUCUCUUUGACUAAUGAAAGCUAAAAUAGUUAAUAUAAGAUCAAAUUUUCUAGUUAUUUCAAAUUAAAAUAAAAUCCACAUAAUUUAAUCAUUCUCACAAAAUUCAAAGAUAUAUUUAAUCCUUCUCUCAUAUAAGUUUUGUCUUCUUUAAUUCAACAAUUAAUUUAAAUUUAUAGCUUUGGAUGAUCAAAUAACUUCUUUUUUCACUCAUACUCUUCUUCUUAAAUUUAUCACACAUAUAACCCACCUACCCCACCCCCACCAUCCAAAAAAAGAAAAAUAUAUACAUAUGAAGAAAAAUAAAGAAUUAUUGAGAAUGAUAAAGAAUCUUGAGGCUUUAAAAGAACCUGAUUUUUUAAUUUAAAUCAAUCUUUUGAGUUUCAUCAUUUAUCGAAUUAAGCUUAUUUUAUUUAUUUAGCCCAUUUCGAUGUGCUAAAAUUCAACUCAGAAUGUGCAUUUAAUCCUCCCACCCCCCACACCCACCAACUAUAAUUAUACUUAAAUAAAAGAAAUUCAAUUUCUUUUUGGUCCAAGAAAAUUUAUAAUAUUGAUAAUAGUUUGAUCAAAUGACCGAAGAAGACAACAAAAUCAAGAAAUAUAAAAUUCUUGAUUUUUUUAACAAUACAUGGGAAAUACUUCUCAAAAAUUAUUUAAAUAAAGAAACUUAAACAUAAAACUAAUUCAUCCAAUAAAAAAACUUAUGGACACUUUGGUCCUCCUCUUUUUGUUUUCCAAUCAUUAUAGCAAGCACAACACUCUUUACCCCCACUAGUUCCUGGUGGAACACAUUGACACCAUUCACAACAUUUGUUGCAAAAAAAUAAACAAGGUUUUUUGUGAGAUGUAGCUGAACAUCUUUGAUUGCAUGCAUCUCCACAUUCUGAAAAACACAAAAAUAAAAUAAAAUAUAAUCAUUUAUCGAGUUGCUUAAAUUAAAAAUAACCAGCGAAUGUAUAAUACAUGUAUAAUGCAUGUAUAACAAGUGAUAUUGUUUUGAAAUCCUUUGUCAAUGCAACUAUUCAUAUGGUUUCAAUAUUAAUUUGCGGACCGAGAUUGAUGUUAGAAGUAAAGAAAGAUUUGUCUAAUAGUCUCGACGUUCUUGUUAGGAUGCAUUAUAUAUGUAUAAUCCAUGUAUAACAAGUGAUGGUGUUUUAAAAUCCUUUGUCAAUGCAACUAUUCAUAUGGUUUCAAUAUUAAUUUGCGGACCGAGAUUGAUGUUAGAAGUAAAGAAAGAUUUGUCUAAUAGUCUCGACGUUCUUGUUAGGAUGCAUUAUAUAUGUAUAAUCCAUGUAUAACAAGUGAUGGUGUUUUAAAAUCCUUUGUCAAUGCAACUAUGCAUAAGGUUUUUUCAAUAUUAAUUUGUGGUUCGAGAUUCAUGUUAGAAGUAAAGAAAAAUGUAUCAAACCAUCUCGAUAUUAGGAUGCAUUAUAUAUGUAUAAUCCAUGUAUAACAAGUGAUGUUGUUUUAAAAUCCCUUGUCAAUGCAACUAUGCAUAAGGUUUCAGCAUUAAUUUAUGGUUCGAGUAAAGAAAAAUUUAUCAAACAGUCUCAACGUUCUAGUUUUGAACCAAUAAAAAGGAGGUAUACUCACUAUCUGCAGCCACAGGACAAGUUGUUGGACCAGUAGGGGGCUUGUCAACUUUGAUUAUUUGUGCAUUAGACAUUAAAGCUAUGAUAAUCAAACCCAAAAAAAUGUGAAAAAACCUCAUCAUGUAUAUUUUCUUUUAGUCUUGAAAAACUAAUGUUAGUUUUCAAUUUUAAUUUUGUUUUGUGAGAAAAUGAUUUGUGAUGAAUCCUUCAAUGUGUGCAUUAUUUAUAGGCAAGAUUAAUUAUGUUAUAACCAAAAUAAUAAAUUUUUAAUUCAUUGUAGAUAUUGCUAUUAAUAUAACAUUUACUUAAGAUUUAUCUAAUAAUUAAAUGCAUAUAAAGAUAGAAUUAAUGCUCCAACCGUCCAUUUUAGUUUUCACACUUCAUUUAAAAAAUCAUAAAUAAAAAGUGUUUUUUUUUUUACUAAUUUAGCUUUUUUUUCUUUCCGUGUAAGCAAUAUUGUUUACUCUCAAAACAAUUAUUAUAUCACUCUUUUGAAUAUAAUAAAUUCAAUUAUUUGAAUAAUGCAUCGGGAGAUGAGUGAUGAUAUAAUAAAUAAUAAGAGUAAAUUAAGAAUUAAUUUUAAUAAAUUAUAUCUUGAUUUUUAAAAUUGUACAAGUAAAAGUGACAUUUUUUAGUGUAAUAAACAAGUAAAAAUAGAUGAAGAGAAUAAUAAGUCUAUGUUAAUUUUAUGAGUUGAUAAGUUUUUAGAUGAUAUUGUUAAUAAUAUUAACAACUAUUCGCUAUGUCCCUAACUACUUGUCCACUUUUGAAUUGACAAACAUAUUAAGAAAACAAUAAUUGACAUAGUGAAUUUACCAUUUUACCCCUAUUAAUUAUGAAGUGAAUGAAUUAAAAACUUAAGAUUUUCAAGAAGUUCUACCUUUUUUAAAGUAAUUAAUUGAGGGUAUAACAGAUAAAUAAAAAUUGUCCUUGCUUGAUUUGUCGAAAUAGACAAGUAAUUAGGAACAACUAAAAAAGAAAAUGUGGACAAGUAAUUAGGGACAGAGGGAAUAAUAUGGAACGAAGGUACUAGACGACUAGUUAUCUUACAUAUUGUAAUUAAAUGAACUUCAAACUAAAUUUAGCUAAAAGUUGCAUUUAUUAAAAUAAUUAAAUUAAAGACUCGUAUUAGGAUAAAAUCACAUUUUAAAAUUUAUAUUAAAUGCCUCACAUGAUAGGUGAAGUCUAUUAUUCUACGUUGUGAAUUUAUGAUUUUUAAUUAUUAGACAAAAGAGUUCAAAUAUACUAACGAAAAACAAGGGCAUAUAUGGCUCAUAUUUGUACAAGCAAAGGCAUAUUUGACACCAAAUUGUUAAACGAGUAUAUUCAUGAUGCAUUUGUAUAGUUCAAUGACAUAUUCGAAUUUCGAACUACUACUAAAAUCAAGUGUGAAAAAGAAAAAAAAAGGAUAGUAUUAGUAAAGCAAUCAUACUAAAUAUUGAAUUUGCUAUAUACUCGAUAAAUAAAGAAGAAUCAAUUUCAUUUUGGUUCAUAAAAAAUUAUAAUAUGGAUAAUAGUUAGAUCAUGUGAACCUAACAGAAAACAUAAUCAAGAAAUAUUAAUUCUUGAUUUUAACAACACAUAAGAAAAAGCUCCACAAUGACGGAUAGCGUACAAGUACCGCGAGGGAAAAGGUAAAAAGAACCCUCUUUUUCUCCUCGUACAGUCUUGGCUCUAAUAAAGAGAAAUAAUCUCUUCCUACCCUACGAUAGGAAAAAAAAUACUUCCUCAAGAAGAUCAAAUAAAAGAAAAAUACACAUAAAACGGAUACAAUAGAGACAGGGAAUUACAAGGUGGAGAAUCGAACAAUCACCAACAAAGUGAAAAUCCAAGUAACCAGCCAACCAACAACUGAGCUACUAAGAUUCUCCGACACACCAUUUUUCCAUGAUUAGUUUAAAUAUCAUGGACACUUUGGUCCUCCUAUUUGUGUCUUCCAAUUGUUGUAGCAAGAACAACAUCCUUUAUUUUGCCCAACAUAACCUGGUGGAACACAUUGGCACCAUCCACAACAAUGGUUGCAAUAAAACAAACAUCUUUUUUUGUGACCUUUGUGUGAGCAUCUCUUAAUACAUGCUUGUCCACAUUCUGAAGAAAACAAAAGGUUAAAAUUAAAAAUAGUCGGUGAAUACAUAUUACAUGUAUAAUCAGUAUAUAAUCUAUGUAUAAUGUGUGUAUAUAAUCUAUAUAUAUAUUUGGAUCAAUGUUCCAUUCUUUAUGAGAAAAGGUACCUCUCUUCUUUCAAAAAAAAUAAUUUACAUUUAAUUAACAUGUAGUUGUUGUAAAGUAUAAUGGAAGUCAAGUGUAAACUAUAUUUCAAAGCAAAUAACAUGCAAUCCAUGUGUAUUAAGAGUGAAAAUUGAACUUAAAGGUGAAGCAAGGUAAAGAACGACGGAUCUCUUUAUGAUACGAGAGAUCUAUUUUGCAUCUUCGUUAUUACGAGUAGUUUUACAAAGGAUCAGACUAAUCACAUAAACAAUACUUGAAUUCUCAAUAGAGAUGUUACAUUGUUAAUUCUUAUUUCUCAUCCUUUAGAGACUACGAGUGUUAUAAGAUUAUCAUCUAUCCACAAAAAGAUAACCUUAAGAUGAUCAUCUUAGAUGAGUGAAGAUUGUUCAACUAAAAGGUGAAGCAAGAUUAGGAACGGCGAAUCUCAAUAUAAUACACGAGAUCCAUUUUGCAAGUUCUUUAUAACAACAAAUUCUACAAAGGAUCAGACUAAUGACGUAAACAACACAAGAAUUUGAAUCCUCAAUGUAAAUACUAGAUAGUUGAUUCUCAAUAUCCUUAAAAGAGUACGAUUGUACUAAGAUGAUCAUCUUGUGGCUAUUAAAAAUGACCUAAAUCAAAUUAUUAUAUUUCUCAAUCUAACACAAAACUUUCAUGAUAGAUGAGUAUAGAUUGCCCAACUAAUAUAUAACACAUCGAACCAAGUGAUAUCACUGACCUUUUCGAGAUUCAAAUAAUUCUUUCUUUAAUUGUAAUUUAUAAUAUGUAUUUAAAAUAUUUUAAAUUGUCACUUACUAUAUGUAUUUUUAAAGUAAUUUUUAAAUAUGUGAAUUUUAUUUUAAAAAACUGAAAUGAUAUGUCUGAAUUUACCGACUAAUAGUUUUGACUAUAAAAAUUCCGUACCAUAUAAAUCGAGACAAAAAGAGUAGAUCCAUCGAUAAUGCUUGAAAAUAAUGCAUACAAACAUCAAUUUGGGGAUAGUAAGUAAAUCAAUUUAACCAUUAGAACCUUGUAAUUCCAGAUCGAUACUGUUCAUAAAACCCCCAAUUUCAAACCAUUAUAAAUAAUAAUAACAUAGUCGGUACUACAACAACAUAUUCAGUGUAGUCUCAUAAAAUGUGCUCAGAAAUAAUAGAGCGUACACAGAUCAUAUCUCUAACUUGAAGUAGAUAAGUUAUUUCUGAUAAACCCUCCGUUAAAAAAAAAAAAAGGUAGCAAUGUAGGAAAGAAGAAUAUAAACCACAAAUAAUACGAUAAUCGAAGCAAUAAAAAAGAAAGAUAUAAGAAGAGGUACUUACUACUUCUAGGCACAGGACAAGUUGUUGAACCAAUGAGAGGUUUAGCACUUAUCACAGAAACAGUGAUAAGCAAAACCAAAAAAAUGAGAAUAAUUUUCAUAUUGUAAGCAAAUUUGUGAAGAUGAAGAAGAAAAUAUCUAAAAUUAUCAAAACUCAAAUGGACUUUUAAAGAUACAAAAAGAGUCUGUUUUUGUAUUGAACUUUUCACAUUCUGUCUAGAUCUCAGGGGAAUCAUUUAAUGCUUAAUUUAAUCACCGUCGUUGGAUUAGAUUGAUGGACGGAUAAGAUUAAUUUAACAUGGGACUUUUCGUAUUAUGUCUGGACCUCACAUGGGCUUUUUCUCUAUCCGUCUUAUUUAAUGUGGUACUCAUUCGUCCAAUUUUUGACUUGACACACUUAUUAAAAAUAAAAAAUUAACGUGAUAAGUUUAUUAUUUUAGACUUAUUAAUGAAGUUAGUAUUUUUAUCAAAAACAUUAACUCUCUAAAUAAAUUUAAGGUAUAAUAUGUAAAAAAAUAUUAUCUUAUCUUGAUUUGUUAAAAACAAUAAGUAAAAAGAAAUUAAUAAAAAGUCAAAAUUGGAUAAGUAAAAAAGAAUAGAGGGAGUAGUUUAAUUAGUUACAGAGUUUAAGAAAAAGAAAGACUUUUGAAAUUUAUGGUCUAAAAUAAGCAAUAGAUGUUUUUGUGGAUAUAAAUCAUUUCAUUAAAAGUAAAAUUGAUAAGUUAAAAAUAAAUUGCUAAUUGAUAUAGAAAUAUAUCAUUCUUUUUUAUAAUUACUAAAAAAGAAUAAGUCAUAUAAAUUGAGACAAUGAAAGUAUCAUUUAACUUGACAUGAUAUUUAAAAGCUUUUUAGAAAAGAAAAUUACAAUCUAAAAUAAUUUUUAGAUAUUUAUAUACCUGUAAAUUACUCCAUUUAAUUUAUUUUUUUAAAUUAUAUUAUUUCUAAUUAUAAUAUCAUAACAUUCUUCUUGAGAAAAGGUGUCACGCGCAAUAGGAUGGAGGAAGUAUUUCUUUGUCCCUUAUUUUUAGUAUAUAAUCAUUUGCUAAGGUGUAUAAAAGCAAUACUAAAUAUAAUUUCAUCUCUAUUUUAAAAUGUUAAAGAGUCUUUCAAAAACAGAUUCUCUACCUUUAUAAGGUAAAAAUAAGAUAAUAAGGCAUACAUAUUGUUUAUCCUCGAUGAAGUUUUACGAAAAUUUCAUUCUCUCUUCAUUUAUUUUUAGUUGUUAUGUUGCAUUUUUCGAGAGUUAAUUUGAUUAAUUUUUUUAAAUUAAAUUAUAGUACUUUGAUGUUUUAAAAUAAAAAAUUUAAUAUUUAAAAAAUAUUAUAAUUAAAAAAAAACAUAAUAAAAUAAUUAAAAAAUAUUAAAAUAUUACACAAAAUUCAUAUAGUUUGACUUAUAAUUUAUUUUUUACAACAAUUAAAAAGAAAUGGAGGAAGUACGGUACUUGUUGUUGACUACAUCUCCACAUGGGAGUCAUUCAAUGCUCAAUCAAUCAUAGCCGUAGGAUAAAUUUGAUGGACGGUUAGGAUUUAAUAUGAAAUUAAAUAAAGAAAUGUAUAAGUAAUGAAUAAUGAUUGCUACUUUGGACCUUUUUUCAUAUUUUGUUAAGAUCUAACAUGUAUAAAGCUGUUAACUUGCUUAAAGAUUUGUUAAAUUAAUCUUGUUAAUAAUAUUUUAAAAUUUUUAAAUUUGAUAAUUACUAUUUUACGUAGUUAUUUAAUAAUAAGGCUAAUAUGAUAAAAAAAAAAUGACUCCCUCCAAUUUAUUUAUUUAAUUUAUUUUAAUUUGAUAUAAAAUUUAAAAAAUAUUUUUUAAAAAAAUGUUAUGAUCUUAAAUUAAAAAUAUAUCAGAUAGAUUAAAAAUUUAUCUAAUCUUGUAAUUUUAAAUUUGUCAGUGGAAAAGCUGGAAUAAGAAAAUUGCUAAAAGGAAAAUAGAGUGAAAAAGUUGUCAUAUUAAAAUGAAAAAGUAGAUCAAACAAUUUAAAAAUAAAAAAGUAAUAAAUUCUUUUAGAUUGUUAGUAUAAAUAAAUAUAAUAAAACAUCUAUUCUUAAUAUAUAGAAUGGAUAAAAUAAAACGAUAGUCUAUGUAAUGAUUGAUAAUUAGACUUUCAUAUCGUGUCUAGAUCUUAGUGGAGUGUUUUAAUGCUUAAUUUAAUCACAACCGUACGAUUAAAUUGAUGGACGGUUAGGAUUAGAGUUUAAAAAUAUAUAAAUGUAUUUUCUACGUUAUAUAUUGGCUGACAUUUACACUAAAAAUAGUUAUCUACGUCUUAUAUUGAUUGACAACUUAGAAAAUACAUUUAUAACCCAUUGUUGCUGCAGCUUCUACCUUUCGAGUGAUCAUUGGAUAAGUUUUUAUUGUGUGAAAUGUAAAUCGUAUUAAGUAAGUCCUAUAUAACGGACUCGACUCGGAAGACAAGACACUGAGGGAGGAUCGAUCUCUGAGUCAUCCCGAAAGACACUAAAAUUUAUUUUCAUUUACUUUCCAAUUUAUAAAAUUAAGAGAAUUUUAUUGUAUUGUACUUUUUAAUUUUUAAUUAUAUAUAAUUAUAAUUUCAAAUAUCACUCCUAUUAAUAAAAUUAAUUUAGUAAAAUACACCCUCUCAUCAAAAAUUUAUAAGAAAUAUGUCAGGUUAACAUUAAUUAAGUAAUAUAAAAUAGACAAUAGGCAACUAACCAUCGAUCAAUUAUCAAAUUUCUAAUUACACACUUAUAUUUUACAGGUCAAUUAUUUUUAUAUUACUUUAAAAUAGAACCAAAUACACCAAAAAUAAAAACAUAUGUAAUGAUUUGAUGCUUGGACUUUUCAUAUCGUGUCUACACUUCACAUGGGAGUCUUUUAAUGCUAAAUUUAAUCUCAGCCGUAGGAUUUAAAUUGAUCAACGGUUACGAUUAAUUUAUAAUAAAAAAGAAAUGUAUAUAUUAUUUGAUUAUGUGAAUGUUGUGAACCGUUGGAUGAAGUAAAUGAAUGGCUAGGAUGGAGUGUGUUUCUUUUGUGAGUAAGAAGGUGUGUUUGUUUGACAUGGAUUGAUGACGUGACGUGAAUUGAUUGGUGGUGAGGGAAUGACAAAUAAUUGAUGAGUUUUGGAUUUUUGAGCUUAGGGUAUGGGCAUUUUGGUCCAAAAAAAAAGAGAUUAAUUUGCACUUUAUGUACUUUUUUUUCAUGAUAACGGAAACUUGCCAUAAAAUCCUGCAAAUCACAUACGAGAGGUAACCUACAUCAUGUAAGCCUGAUGCGACGAGCUCGAUCCAGAAGAUAAAUCCCUUACUUUCGCUGGCAAUAAAUUUCGAACUUAAGACUUCCAACAUAAAAGUCCCAAGCCCAAACUAGUAGCGACUCCGAAGGGUUUUUGCACUUUAUGUACCUUCAAAGUACAUAUCAAUAUAUUAAUAGAGUAUCAUUACAUGUUGAUUUAUUUCUUUAAUAAAAAAAAUUAAACGAAUAUCAAUGAUACGCACAUGAUAAAAUAUCAUAUAACCGUAAGUAUAUUAUAAAAAAUUAAUCAUUCAUGUGUUCCAAGAGAGACAGUUAAUCCUUUAUGAUAAAGUAUCAUAGUUAUCACGUUUAAAAUAUCAAGCUUUGGCCAGUAAGUCUAAGUAGUUAUUAUAACUUUAUAAGGUACACAGCUGAAACAGAUAUAUUGACGUCUAAUUAUGUGCUUAUUCUUUUUUUUCUUAAUAUUCGCUCUGUUCUUAAUUACUUGAUUAUUUCUUUUCAUUUUUAGUUGUUUCUAAUUACUCGUUCAUUUUCACAAAUUAAGAAAGAAUUAAUUUUUUUUAUCUAUUAUAAUCUCAAUUAAUUACUUUGACAAAGGUAAAAUUUCUGAAAAAUAUUAAAUUUUUAAUUCAUCUAUUUCAUAAUUAAUAAGGCUAAGAUGGUAAACUUACUAUGUUAAUAAGUAUUUUCUUAAUAGGUAUGUUAAUUUAAAAUUGGACAAAUAAUUAGAAGAAGGAGUAGUAAAAAAAGUACUAUUUAUUCCUCUAUUAGAUAUCAUAAGAACUAAUUCAUGUUUUUAAAACACAGUUCUCUAUGAUGUUCAUAUGAUAAAUAUUACUCUAUAAUAGGGUUAGUAAAAAAAAUACUCCUUGAUCCUUUAUGAGGAUUUAUUCAUUUUUUCGAAAAAAAAUACAAUUUUACUUUUUAAGAAAAAUAUAAUUUUUAUUUUCAUUAGUUGAUAUAUUUAUUUUGUAUUUUUUAUCCAUUAAAAUAAAAAGAAAAUACAAAAUAGAACUAAGAAAAAAUGGAAGAAAAUAAACAUACCAAAAAUAAAUAGAAGUUUAAGAGAAAAAAAAAAACAACAAAGUCAACUAAAGAAAAUAAAUUAAAUGCCGCAAUUCAAGGCCAAUUUAAUGCGUCGAAAGCUAAGAUGGGCAAAACAGACGCCGCAAUUUGUGUGAAUUUUUAUUUUUUCGACUUUUUUCCAUUCACGACUAUAGUUUGUUUUUUUAAAAAAAAAUAAAAAAAUUCAGGGCUGGAACACGAAAUCUCUAACUAAGAGAAGAGUAACUUCAUUCACUGUACUAUAUCAUUUGGUGGUGUAUGAUUUUUUUAAAUUUAUAUUCAUAGUAAUAAACUAUUUUUUUAUGGACAUAUAUUUUAAUAUUAUAAUAUUUAUAUAUUAUGUCUGAAUAUAAUUUCAGUUUCUAAAAUCUUAUGCCCAAUUAGGCAUAAAUAUGAUUCCUCAAGACUAAAAAUUAAAAAUCAAUCUAUUUAAAAAGUAAUAAUAAAAAAUCAACCUAUUUACGAAUAAAACGUGUAAUUUUGUGGGGAAAUAAAUAUUUGAAAUUGGGCCAACUACUAUACUUUUGGGUUGGCUUAAUCCAAUUUUUCAUGUUCUUUUCACUUUAAUUUGAUUUAAAUGAGUUUCUUUUGUCUUAAACAAUUCUUCAAAAUAUGCUAUGUAUAUAAUAAAAAUUAUGGUAUAAUGUACUUAUAUAUAGCUCAAAAUUGAAGAAAUGAAAAUGUAAUUGAUAAAAUAGAGUAAUAGCAUUCUAAAAUGAUUAAAAUGGUGAUAUGACAAACAAAGAAAAUGCAGGUGGUUAAUAUUGAUACUACAAAUUUAUUGAAACUAGUGAAAUUAUUCGCUUUUUAUGUGACUUUAAGAAAAAAUCAAUAAAUUUAUAUAUGUUUACUGUUUAUAUAUACAAAAUUUGUGAAAAUUUUAUAAAUGACAUAUAUAAGACUAAUAAUUUCAAAUUAUGACAAUAUAAUAAUACUUUCAAGUUGUAACAAUAAAAUUUUUUAGGUUAUAACAGUUUAUUUAAAAAAAAAGUUUUAAAAUAAUAAUAAAAACCGAUUUUUAAAAAUUAAUAAAAAGUAAAAAACGGAAAUAGUUGUAGUAAUUGAUUUGAAUACAUUAAUGAUAAUUAAUAAUUGCCAUAAAUUUAGGAGAUUCAAAACAAAAUAGAAAUAUUUAUUUUCCUUUUUUUACUCUAAUCAAUUAAAAGUAUUUCAAAAACCAAAUUUUCUUUUUUGUUCAAACUUUUCUUUCUCUUCAAAAUUUUUUCUGUAAUUGGCGUCAUUCACUUAUAGUUCCAAAUAGUUUUGGUUCAAUAAUCUUCAUUUUGUUAUAAUGGACGACUUCUUAUCGAUAUUAAUAAAACAUGGUGGUAGAUGGGAUCCUUCUGGUUAGUAUUCAUUGCUAUUUAUUAUUUGUGUUUUUAUACUAAUGAAACAUAAAAAAAAUAAAAAAUUUAAGAACAAUGAAACUGAAAAUGAAAUUUUCUGAUUUUGCUUGUGAAACUUGAAUAAAUGAUGGUAUGAAUUUUUCGUAUAGUGUUUUUUGUAAGUUGUAUACUAUUUUUUGUAAUUAGUAUAUAUUGCGAUUUAUUUUUUGUAUUUUAUAUUAAUGAAACUGUAAAAAUAAUAAUUAAGAAUAAUGAAAAUGAAAUUUUUUAAUUUUGCUUGUGUAUAAUAGAUUUAAAUUAUGUGUUUUUUUGUAUGAACAUUAAUUUUUUCAGAUUACAUAUUCAUUUUUUGAAACUGAAAAAAAUUAUAGCAAGAUUUUUUUAAAAUUUAAGUUAUCUGAUUAAAAAAGAAAAUACAUUAAAUAAAGUAAAAAAUUAAUUAAUCUUUAAAUAAAAUGUGAUCUGUUAUAACCCGUAAUUAAACUGUUCUAAGUAAGAAUAUUUUAAAAGUAGCUUUAAAACCCGUAAUAUUGUCUCUUAAAUAUAUAUGGGGUGAUUUUUCCUAUUCGAUUCACUAUAUACUCAAUAAAAAAUAUUGUUUCUUUUUGGUUCAUGAAAAUUUGUAAUGUGGAUAAUAGAUUGAUAAUGUGAUCAAGCAUAAAACAUAAUCAAGAUAUAUUAAUUUGACUUUAACAACACAUAGGAAAUCCUUCUCAAGAAGAUCAAAUAAAGUAAAUUAAACAUAAAACUCAUUAAUUAAUACAAUAAAAACCAUAUUUUUUAAUCCAUGAUUAAUUAAUUAAUAUUAAUUUCAUGGACACUUUGGUUCUCCUGUCUGUUUCUUCCAAUCUCUAUAGCAAGGACAACAAUCUUUAUGUUCCCCAACAUAUCCUGGUGGAACACAUUGACACCAUCCACAACAAUGGUUGCAAUAAAACAAACAUCUUUUUUUGUGACCUUUUUGUGAGCAUCUCACAUUGCAUGCCUCUUCACAUUCUAAACACACAACAAGUAAAAAAAAAAAACAAAAAAAAAAGGUUAAAUAAUCGACAAAUGCAUAAUAUGUGUAUAAUCUGUAUAUAAUCAAUGUAUAUCGGUUGAAAAAAUUAUAAGCGAUAUCCCAAUUGACUAUUUGUGUAAAGAUUAAUUGCUUUCUCUUAGAAAAAAGGGACAGAUUUAUUUACCUCUCUACUUUCAAGAUAUUUUAUGUUUAAUAUAUGCUAUACUUUUCGAACAAAAACACUUGUGUAGUAAAUAAAGUUAUUAGAAAUGCUCAUUCAUACUUCUCAAGAAGUAAAAAAAAGUUAAAUAAUCGGGAAAUGUAUAAUAUAUGUAUAAUGUGUGUAUAAUCAAUGUAUAUCGAUGGAAAAAUGAUAAGUGAUAUUUUGACCGAUUAUUUGAGUAAAGAUUAAUUGUUUUCUUUUAGGAAAAAGGGACAGAGUUACAUCUCUACUUUCGAAAUAGUUUACAUUUAAUAUCUGUUAUACUUUUCGAACAUAAACACCCUUCAAUAAAUAAAGUAGUUAAAAAUGCUCCAAAUGCAUUUGUAAAGCUUUGUUGAUGAUAGAUGUAUUUUUGUUCGCAAAAAGUACAAUAAAAGUCAAAUAUAAACUAUUUCUGAAAGCAAAUGAUAGAUAUGAUCGUUUUUCCUUUCUUUUAUUCCAAUAUAGAUUUGUGAUUCGAUAAUCGUGUUAGAAGUAAUAAACUAUUUUUUCGAACAAACUCAACGUUCUCGUUUUGAACCAAUGAGAAGAUGGAUUUGCAAAAACAACACAAAAAUGAUAAAAAGAGGUACUUACUAUCUUUAGGCACAGGACAAGUUGUUGGACCAACAGGAGGUUGAGCUCUUGACAUUGAAGCCAUAAUGAGCAAAGCCAAAAAGAUGUGAAGAAGCCUCAUCUCUAUUUUUUCUUCAAAAACUAAUGUUAGUUUUCAAUUUUAAUUUUAUUUUGUGAGAAAAUGAUUGCUAUGAAUCCACUAAUUGUGUGCAUCUAUAUAUAUAGACAAUAUUAAUUAUAAUCAUAAUAUUGUAGAUUUUGUUGCUAAUGUAGCAUUUACUCAAGACUUAUCUACUAUGGUUGCAUUUAUUAAUGAGUUAAUUAAUUACAGUAAAGACUCUUAUAACUAAAUUACAAAUAAACUCUGUAUUUUUUAAAAAUUAAGCAUUUACAUCCUUUUUAAAAAAAAAUGAAAGUCAUACACUUACACCUUCUUCUUUUCCCCCCCCUAUAUAUAUAUUUCUAAAAACAUUUAAACCUUUUAUAUAAGGAGAAUCCUACAGAAAUGAAACAUCAUCUACUUAAUUAUAUAUAAGAUAAUUUUGAAGCGAAAAAAUAAUAAUUUAAACAUAUAAAUUUACAUUAUGGUAAAUAUUCUAAUUGAAUUUAAAAAAAAGUUACUUACAUGUAUCAAAGUGCAAGGAAAUUUACUAUAUAUAGAAUAUUGAAUGAGGAGCUUAGGGUGGUCAAUCUUGAUCAAUUUGCUUUUGUGCUUCACUUUUCUCUAUUUAUACUGACUCUUCGAAUUUAUUCUGUACCACAUAAAUGACAGAUAAAAUCACGAGGCUCUUGCAUCUAGUAUUAGUAGUAAUAGAAACAUCUUGACUCAUGUUGUAAAGCUCCAUUGUGACAUCAAACAAAUAACAACAAACAAAUUGUAGGAUACAUACCAAGGUAUUACACCAAUUGAACCUCCCAAUAGACUAUAGAGUGUUGAUAAGACAAUUAAUUGAGAUUAUUUCUACUUAGUACUUAGUAGGAUGGAGUGUAUUUCUUUUGUUAGUACAAACUACAAAGGUGAGGUUGUGUUUGUUUGAUAAGGAUUGUUGACGUGUCGUGAUUUCAUUGGUGGAAAUGGAAGGACAAGGACUGAUGAGUGGUAUGGGUAUGGUUUUUAAAAUUUUGGGCCUUGUUAUGAGGCAUUUUGGGUAAGAUUUGGUGUGGAAAAAUUGAAAAUUUAAUAUUGGCCCAAUUACUAGACUUUUGGGGUUUUUGAAUUGCCUUAGAGAAAUUAUUUAUCUAUACAAAAUAAGACUAAAAUAGUACCAAAUGUAGUAGGAGAUUUUUGUUCAUCAAAAAUAUCAAGUGCAUCCUCUUUUAAAAAAAUAAAAUAAUAAUAUACGAAAUCAUACUUCGAAUCUCGCUUAAGUAUUAAAAUUUUGCUCAUAAUCUCAUGUAUGAAAAUCGUAUGAUAUCAAUCUAAAAUAUGUAUAUAACUGUAUAAAUUUUAUAUAAAGUUCAUGUUAGGUUUAUGAAGGAGAAAAACACAAGUUUUUACUUUCGCUCAAGGCUUAGAAUUUCAUUCACAAUUUCAUGUAUAAAAAUUAUAUAAAAUAUGUAUAUAAUUGUAUCAAUUUCAUGUUGGUUUCUAAAAUUUUAAUAAAACAACAAUAUUAUAUACAAAUUUAAUAUAGCUAACUUAAACUACAAUUUUCAUACAAAUUAAAUAUAGCUAAUAUAACAUACAAACUUCAAAUACAAUUUUCAUACAUUUAUAAUACGACUUUAAUACAUACCUUUGCUUUCUCAUUCUUAUAUGUCAAGAAUGAUCCAAUGGAAUCUUCUAAAUCAGAUAUGUAAAAUCUCAAAGGAUUAGAAGAGACUUUUGAUAUAAUUCGACUGUAAUUUGAACUUUGAUAUUAUUCAAAUGGCCUCAACUUUUACAUUUAGGGCCCGUUUGGCCAUGCGAUAUGGUAUCAUGAUAUGAAAUCAUAAGACAAAAUUGAAGGUUUGUUUGGACAUGCGAUAUGGAAUUUUUGUGUUGUAUAUUUUCUCAUAAACAUUAAAAUCCCAUAAGUUGUAAAACUAUUAAAAAUAGCCCCAAUUGUUUAUUCAAUCUUAUCAAAUAAACAAAAAAAUUAUAAAAUCGCAUAAUAAAUUAUUACAAAGUUAUUUGUUAUCCACUCAAGUAAUUGUUUCAUCUAACUUUAAUUUAAUAUAAAAAAUCGAACAUAAAUUGUAGUGCACUAGUCUUUAAUAUAAUCCUCCACAUAGUACGGACAAUUUCCUCACAUUGAACUUGCAUUUCUUGAUCAUGUGACCGAGAAGACGAACCAACAUUGUUACUUUGAGCCAGUUGUUGGUCAAUAUCCUCCACAACUAUAAUUCAUGUUCAUAGACCAUAAAUAUUUCAUCACUACUUUGGUAUUCUCGCAAAUAAUUAUGUAACACUGCACAAGUUAUGACAAUUUCACUUGUGUAUCAAUAUCAUAAUGGUUCAUGCCUUGUUUCAGUACUCUGAAUCUAUUUUUCCAAGCUCUAAAAGUCCGUUCAAUCACAUUGCGCAGAGAUGAAUGCCUAUAAUUUAAAUAGUUCUUUGGCAUUUUUGAGGCUCUCUUUCACUUCCUCGGUAAUCUUGCAAAUGAUAGCAUAGUCCUUUGUAUGGAGCUAAAAAAUCCUUUUGUGUUUCGGAAACCAGCAUCAAACAACAUAAUAUUUAUCUACCAAAAAACAUUUUAUAAAGAAUUACUAAAAGCAUAUGUGACGUAAAUGAGACAGCUUUGUGUAAAUAAAUAGUAUUUCUUCUAAGGAUGUAAUUUAAAGUUACCAUGUGGCGGAAAUGGAAAUUGUGACGUUGGUUCAACAAGUGCAUUCUCAAGUACUUUACUAUCAUGUGCAGUACCUUCCCAACCAGCAGUAACAAAGGUAAAUCGCAUAUCAAAAUCACAAGCACAUAAGACACUUUGUGAUGUUCUUCCUUUGUGAUUACGAUAUGCUUGUUUGCACCGCUUUAGGAACCUCCCCUUCUAUAUAUGUUCCAUCAAUCGCACUAACACAAUCCUACCAAGUAAAAAAUACAUCAAUAUUAGUUUAGUGAACAUAAAAUAAAUUGGAAGCAUUAUAGAAUGCACUUCAUAAAAAAUAAUGUUUGUAAGAGUAAUAAAAAUAGUGCUUCCAAGACAAUGCAAAGUCAUAAAAUAAAUAUUAUCUCUUUAAACAAAGUUGAUAGGAAAUAUGUAACUAAAUAGGGAUAACGUACACAUAAAAUAUAAAUGUGCACUUAUCAAGACCAUAAAAUAAAUUUAUUACUCAACAAUCGAUUGGUGUGAGUUAAAGUGACUAUAUAUUGGUGAGAAUAAUAAAUUUUAUGUCGGUGAGAAUAAUAAAUUUUAAAAAGUAAUGAUGUGAUUAUAAUUUUAUUUACAUAUGAAAUAAAUGGUUAGUAGAUAUAAAUGUGGGUAGUUUUAACAAAAUAUAAACUCAUGGAUCAAUUGUUGUAUUAAAAUAUCUCAAAUCAUGAUACGGAAUUCCUAUAUAAUUUCAUAUCAUUGUUUUUGGAGAAUAUGGAAUCACAUCUCAGGAUAUGGAAUCAUGAGAUGGAAUCAGCGUAAAAUCGCAUGUCCAAACGCUGNNNNNNNNNNNNNNNNNNNNNNNNNNNNNNNNNNNNNNNNNNNNNNNNNNNNNNNNNNNNNNNNNNNNNNNNNNNNNNNNNNNNNNNNNNNNNNNNNNNNNNNNNNNNNNNNNNNNNNNNNNNNNNNNNNNNNNNNNNNNNNNNNNNNNNNNNNNNNNNNNNNNNNNNNNNNNNNNNNNNNNNNNNNNNNNNNNNNNNNNNNNNNNNNNNNNNNNNNNNNNNNNNNNNNNNNNNNNNNNNNNNNNNNNNNNNNNNNNNNNNNNNNNNNNNNNNNNNNNNNNNNNNNNNNNNNNNNNNNNNNNNNNNNNNNNNNNNNNNNNNNNNNNNNNNNNNNNNNNNNNNNNNNNNNNNNNNNNNNNNNNNNNNNNNNNNNNNNNNNNNNNNNNNNNNNNNNNNNNNNNNNNNNNNNNNNNNNNNNNNNNNNNNNNNNNNNNNNNNNNNNNNNNNNNNNNNNNNNNNNNNNNNNNNNNNNNNNNNNNNNNNNNNNNNNNNNNNNNNNNNNNNNNNNNNNNNNNNNNNNNNNNNNNNNNNNNNNNNNNNNNNNNNNNNNNNNNNNNNNNNNNNNNNNNNNNNNNNNNNNNNNNNNNNNNNNNNNNNNNNNNNNNNNNNNNNNNNNNNNNNNNNNNNNNNNNNNNNNNNNNNNNNNNNNNNNNNNNNNNNNNNNNNNNNNNNNNNNNNNNNNNNNNNNNNNNNNNNNNNNNNNNNNNNNNNNNNNNNNNNNNNNNNNNNNNNNNNNNNNNNNNNNNNNNNNNNNNNNNNNNNNNNNNNNNNNNNNNNNNNNNNNNNNNNNNNNNNNNNNNNNNNNNNNNNNNNNNNNNNNNNNNNNNNNNNNNNNNNNNNNNNNNNNNNNNNNNNNNNNNNNNNNNNNNNNNNNNNNNNNNNNNNNNNNNNNNNNNNNNNNNNNNNNNNNNNNNNNNNNNNNNNNNGCGGUGCCGCACUUUCUUAAUCUUAGUAUUCGCAAAAUGUUCGUUCACAUGACUGAAGAAUAUCAAGUCCAAUUGAUUGAGGACUUGGGAAAAUUUGAUCAAUUAGUUAUUAAUAUUUAGUCAAGUGGAGUAGUUAUAAUUUUUUUGAUUAAAUUUUAUUAGAAGUGUUUUUGACUCAAACUUGUGGUAACUUUUUAAAAUUUCGUUAUUCAAUAAUAUUUAACUAUUGAUUUUUCUUGUAAAUAGUUAGAAGUCAGUGAUGUUUGUUAAUUUUUAUCUUAGUGUAUUUAACUUCUAAGUUAAUAUUUACUCACUAAUGUAUUUUUUUCCCCCUACUUUAUAGGUUAUUUGUAAGAGUAGUUGAGAGAUAUGAGCAUAUCAAGUACAAUUUAUGUUUAAUUUUUUUUAUUAAAUUAAAGUUAGAUGAAACAAUUACUUAAGUGGAGAACAAAUAACUUUGUAAUAAUUUAUUAUGCGAUUUUAUAAUUUUUGUUUAUUUGAUAAGAUUGAAUAAACAAUUGGGGCUAUUUUAAUAGUUUUACAACUUAUGGGACUUUUAUGUUUAUGAGAAAAUAUACAACACAAAAAUUCCAUAUCGCAUGUCCAAACAAACCUUCAAUUUCAUCUCAUGAUUCCAUAUCAUGAUACCAUAUCGCAUGGCCAAACGAGCCCUUUAAACUCCCCUUGACAUUCAAGUUCUUUUGAGAUAUCACCACUCAAAAUAAAGUUCAUUUGUGGUAAAUUAAUUUUUCAAACUUGAGCCUCAACACAUAUGCGUUUAGUAACAUAGAGUUAUAGUUUUUUUUUAAAAAUAAAAUAAAAUAACAAAAUACACAUUAAUUUUAGUUAAAAAAUCAUCAGUCAACAGACGAAUAAUUAAAAAAUGCAUGAAAAUUGAGAAAAACUUUGACAAUUCACGUAAAAUUAAAUAAAAAUAUGAUCUUUUUUUAAUUUAAAAAAUAAUUAUUAUCACUAAUAUGAUUGUAAAUAGAUUAAGCUCAUAGGAGUUGUUCAUCGAGAAAUUAGAACCUAGGGCUAUGGAAAUUGUGAAAAGCUUAAUAAUUCGCAAAAAGUUAAAGGAAAAAUAUGAUUUUUAACCGCUUCAUUGAANNNNNNNNNNNNNNNNNNNNNNNNNNNNNNNNNNNNNNNNNNNNNNNNNNNNNNNNNNNNNNNNNNNNNNNNNNNNNNNNNNNNNNNNNNNNNNNNNNNNNNNNNNNNNNNNNNNNNNNNNNNNNNNNNNNNNNNNNNNNNNNNNNNNNNNNNNNNNNNNNNNNNNNNNNNNNNNNNNNNNNNNNNNNNNNNNNNNNNNNNNNNNNNNNNNNNNNNAGUUGGAAGAACAUGCCAUGAUAUUAGAAAAUCUAAUCUAAUGAGGUUGAUAAUUCAGAUGACAAAAUACACAUUAAUUUUAUUUAGAAAAUCAUCAAUCAACGAACGAAUAAGUCAAAAAUGCAUGAAAAUUAAGAAAAACUUGAGAAUUUAAGUAAAAUUAAAUAAAAAUAUGAUUUUUCGUCCGUUUUAUUGAAUAAUAAACAAACAUGAGAGAGGGGACAUAGUGAGUGAGAGAGCUAGAGAGAGUAGCGGGGAAACGAACCUUUUUUGUUUCACUUUCCUUUCUUCCCCUCUCUCUCUUUUCUCUCUCUCCCUCUCUAUGAAAUGUGUGUAUUUUUCCCUUUUGUACAUUUUUUUCUUCUUCUUCAUUGAUUUACAAGAUAUGAGCUUUGUUUGAUUCAACGAGAUAUGCCUUUUCAUGUAUGUUUUCUUGUACCCCUCUUAAUCUUUUUGUAUACAUUUGUCAUGAGAUCUUGUGUUUACAAAUCUCACAUGUUUGAAUUGAGAAAUUUUAUGAUUCUGAUCUUUAGUAUUUUUUUUUAUUUAGGCAGAAUACCUUUCUUUUUUUCAUGAAUUCAAUUUUUUUUUUCUUACUUCAAACUUUGUGUAUGAACUCCCAUGAUUUGAUAGAUCGCAUCUAGAAUUUUUGGUUAGCAAUUCUUGAUUCUUUUCUCUCUCUUUGAUUUUUGCAUUACAAUUUUUUUGUCUGAAUUCUGUAAAAAAAAGAUCCAUCUCGAUAAAAUGGUGAAUUAUUUUUUGUCCCCAGUUUUUUAAAUCUCAUUACGAAUUACGACCUAAUCCUUUCAAAAUUUUGAUAUAUAUAAUGUUCAUCGCACUAGAUCUACCAUUGCCUAAGAAAAUUCACGAUGUUAUUUUUAAAAUUUUCAAUUAGUAUUAGGUUUUUGAAUUCUACGUGAAAUUUCUCAUCUUAUUUGUAUUUUGUAGGAAUUCCCUACAAAAUUGUGGAUGUGUUAUUGUUGGUGGCAAGAGUACUAGUGACAAUUUAGUCAAUUUUUUGAACUCGCAAGAUUUCUCAGAGUCGAAGAGAACAAUAACAACAACAAUAAUAGCAGGAACAUCAAUUUCAAAAUAAUCUUGCAAGUCCUUAAAGAAUCUUCUAGAAACACUUGCAAAUACUUUAGAGAAAAGCUAAAUGGAUUCGAUUACGACAAGUACUUCUGACAUUCCAAUUAAUCAAGGUAAUAAUAGAUCAAUAAAUCGUAGGCUUUCAGCCCGAUUUCCUUCAUCGAAAGAUGCCACGUACCCUGAUGACAUAGGUAAUGAAUUCGGGUCAAGGAAUAGAACGUUGAAUAGAAAUGCAAGUAAAGCUCAAAGAGGAAGCCCUAGUACGAAAUUUGACCCUUCAAUGUCAAUGAGAAGAUCUGAGACGGGUAGUGAAUGUGAAGAGGACGAGUCAGAAGAAGAAGAAAAUGAAGAAGAGAGCGCGGAAGAAGGAGAGGAAACAAAAGAAGGAGAGGAACCGGUUAGAAUGUCAUUGAUGGCAUUAUUAGCGGAGUCAGAAGGUUCAUCAUACAUGAUGGGAGAGGACGAGGACGACGAUGAGGACGAUGGUGGUGGUGAUGUUGGUGGAGAUAACUUAAAUAAUUGUUGUGUUUGUCAAGUUAGACAUAAAGGUGCAGCAUUUGUACCUUGUGGACAUUCAUUUUGCAGGUUAUGUUCAAGGGAACUUUGGGUUGAAGGAGCUAAUUGCCCACUUUGCAACAAUUUCAUAUUGGAAAUUCUUGACAUUUUCUAAUCACUUCAUUCAACAUUGAUCAAAUUUUCAUUUACAUAUGUGUUGUUAUUUAUUUUCAUUUUUUUUGUUUUGCAUUUCUUCUUGUUUGUUAAUUGGAGCAAAAAAUGUAACUAGUAAAAAUUGAAGUUAAUGAAUACAUAGUAUUGGUGCACCUACUAAUUUUUUAUAGCAUGAGCAUAAAAUGGGGUUUGACAUAAAAUGGGAUUCGUGUUGUAUAUAUUCUUAUCCUAGCUAUUUGUAUUACGAUUUGUGGAAAAAUUAUAAUGAAUUAUCAUGUUUAUAUAUUGACAAGCAAAAUAUAUAAACGAAGUUUUGAAAAAUUUCUAAAUGUAUAAAUACAAAAAAAUUGUAUAUACUUACCCGUUAGUAUAUUCGCUUGCGAAUAUACAAACCGCAGCCUCCAUAGCAUACAAAAUUAUAGCUAUGAAAUGCAUUUAUCGAAACUAUAGUUGUAGAACCUUAUUAUAUCUAUUAUCUUUGCUAUUUCUGAAAUUGUUAGCAUAAUGUAAGUAAAAUUUGGUUAUUAUAAUAAACACAAUCAAUUUGUUUAAGAAUAUUUAGCAUUUAGAAAAAAAGAUAGUUAUAUAUUACUNNNNNNNNNNNNNNNNNNNNNNNNNNNNNNNNNNNNNNNNNNNNNNNNNNNNNNNNNNNNNNNNNNNNNNNNNNNNNNNNNNNNNNNNNNNNNNNNNNNNNNNNNNNNNNNNNNNNNNNNNNNNNNNNNNNNNNNNNNNNNNNNNNNNNNNNNNNNNNNNNNNNNNNNNNNNNNNNNNNNNNNNNNNNNNNNNNNNNNNNNNNNNNNNNNNNNNNNNNNNNNNNNNNNNNNNNNNNNNNNNNNNNNNNNNNNNNNNNNNNNNNNNNNNNNNNNNNNNNNNNNNNNNNNNNNNNNNNNNNNNNNNNNNNNNNNNNNNNNNNNNNNNNNNNNNNNNNNNNNNNNNNNNNNNNNNNNNNNNNNNNNNNNNNNNNAAAAAAAAAAAAUUAAUAUAUUCUCCCCCCCCCCCCCCCUCCUAAAUCUACCCUUAAAGUAUCUAGCAAGUAAGACAUAUAAGGAGAGAUAAAUAGUAUUUUAAAGCAAAUACAUAUAAUGCUAUUAAAUGUCUUUCUUAGAAGUUGUGCAAACACUAUAAAAUGAAAUAUAUAUUAUAUUUUUUUAAAACAUAAAUGAUUAAAUUUGAGGCUAUUUAGAUUAAUUAUUGAUACUACAAUUCAAGAAAAAGUUAAUAUCCAUUUCAUGUUCAUUUUCUCUUCAAGUUAUUUCUAAAAUGAGCAAAUUAUGAUGUGUAAAAUUGUGGGUGAUUAAUGAAGUGAUAAAGAUUGUUGACCAACUCAUACUUCUCUUGCCUUCAUUCUUAGGAGGCUUAAAACAUGGUCAUAUCUUUGCAUGAGUUUAAGUUUUAUAUACUGAAGAAUCAUGACAAUAAAAUAUGAAUAGGAUAAAAAAAGUAUUAUUAUAUUUGAUAAAAAAAUUAAGAAAAAAAGAAGUAAUUAUACAAUGAUGAAUUUUGAUUAGAGCACUAAUUCUUGGAAAUCUCUAUACAUAACUUUUAUUGAGAUUGUAUAUGUAUAUAUAUUAGAAAAUUCAUAGUCUAUAAAUAACUAAUUGUUAAUUUAAAAUUAUUAUUAUAUUAAUUUAAAGUUCUUGUAGGAAUUUAUAUAUAAACUAUAAAAAUAAAUUUGCCUAUAGCAUAUUUUAGUUACAAUCAAUUCAACAUUGAUCAACUUUUUUUUUAAUGACAAACGUUAAUAUGUACUAUAAUAAAAACGAUAACUAACUUAUAAUUACUACAAUACGUUAUACUAUAAUAUUUACAUUCAUUAUUUAAAAUUUAUUUAUUUAUUGAUUUUGUGUAUCAAUCAAUUUAGUUGGUUCAAUUUUCUUUAUUCAUAAUGUGUUUGAAAUUUAUUUCCAAUAUUGAUGUAAAUAAUAUGCCCAAUUAGGAUUUAUAUAUGACUUAAAGGAAAGGGUUUCGACCACACAACACAAAACCAUAUUUUCCUUCUUUACCAUUUUUUUCUUCUUUAUUUUGGGUGAAGUAUUCGGGUGUGUUUGGUACGAAGAAAAUGUUUUUUCUGAAUUAACAAAGAGCGCUAAAACCUUAUCAGCAUUAGUUAAUUGUCCUUGGAUCCAAUGUCGCUAUAGACUUUAUGAACAUAUACAAAGAGUGCUAAUUGCCUCUAAAAAUACAUAUUUAACGAUGAUUAAGCUAUUGCCGUUAAUUAAUUGCUACUAAAGAUCAUUUUCCUGUUUACAUUGAGGAAAUUAUUGCCCUGAUUUUAAAGAAAUUGUUUUUCUUGAAAAAAUAAUAACCAAUUGAUCGAAUAUAGAAAAAUUCUCCAUUACCAAACACACCCUUUCCUAGCUCCCCCCACCCACCAAAAAAAACCCAAUAUAUAUAUCCCUCUAGUACAAGCUUUUCAAACAUCUUCAAUAAACCCAGCCAGAAUUCUCCUUUAACAACUAUGAAUAUUUUACAUCAACCAUAUAUAAUUUUAUUUUAUUUUCUAUUUUAAUUGUUGCAAAAUAUGUAUUUUUAUAUAAAACUUGUAUGUUUAUUUGGUCUUUUCCUACUUGGAGCUUUAGCCAAAGAUAUACCCUAUGAUGUCAAUUAUAAUAUUAUAUUUGGGAAUCAACAUGUUGUAUCCUUCAACCAAGGAAGAGAACUUCAGAUUUCAAUGGACCAAUCUUCUGGUAUUUUUUUUGUUAUUAUGUGUUGCUCCAUAUGUUUCGAUUUAUUUGUCAUAGUUUGGAUAUGUGAGUUUAAGAAUGAAAAAAAAAAACUUUUGAAAUUUAUAUAUCAAAAUAUGCAAGGGCGGAGUUUGAAGUCCGAAUACAACAAUUUUGUAGCUUUUACUCAAAUAUUAUAUUUGUAUUAGCAAAUACAUUAAAUAUGUAUACAAAAUAAAUUUAAAAAGUUAGUUUUAAAAUUCAGAACAUACAAAAUUGAAAUUCUGACUCCACUUCUUUAAAUGUGUUAGAAUAUUUAUGUGAUUAUUAUAAUAAUUUUUUAAACUUAUAGCUUGAAACAUGUCAUAACAUGUAUUUGUCUAUAAGCAUAUCAUUAAGAAAAUAUUGAAAUGUGUCAUUAUUAUUAUCGAAACACAUUAAGAAGGAAAUAGUGUCAAAUAUUAAAGUGAAACGAAGGAAGUAUUUAUUUUGUUGUUUUUGGCACUAGUAGCAACAAUAUUUAUUUCACUACAAAUUUUUUUUAUAGAAAUUAGCUACAAAAUUAGUUACUAAAAUACCUCUUGAUAACAUAAUUUUUCGAUAAUUUUUUGCUAAUUCAUCGUUAAAUUGAUUUAGUGAUAGAAUCCUUUUUGACGCUAAAUCCUUUUGUUUUGGUAGUGUUUGUCUAACUAAAUGGGAUUUUCUUACAUCUUGCAUCAACCAAAUGUUUACAAGUUUAAGCAGUUAAAAAGAACACGUUUCAAAUAGUAUAUAGGAGAUUUUUUUUUAUAACUUGAUUAAUUUAGUAAAUUAUAUAUAGUAUUAAUUAAUUUGUUGAAUUAUUUAUAGGAUCUGGCAUUGGAUCUAAGGAGAAUUAUGGUUCAGUUCACAUGAAAAUAAAACUACCAAACAGAGACUCAGCAGGAGUUGUUAUUGCUUUUUAUGUAAGUAAAAUAAUAUUAUCUUCAAUUAAUUUUGUGUAAAUAUUUUUGAAACAAUAUUUUUAUUUAAUUGUCAAACACAGAAUAAGUAAGAUAACUAUUUAUUUUUCAUUAAUUUUUUUAAUUCCUAUCAAACAUACCCUAAAAGCAACCGACAAAUAACCGUCCAUAAAUAAGUGUACAUAGCACAUACUAUGACAUAUUAAAAUACGCUGAUAGUGUAACAUAAUUUACGUUAUCAAUGUAUAUAAAGUUAAAUUCAAGUUAUAAAUUAAAUAUUUACGAAUUAAUUGCAUAUGUUUUUUGCAGCUACAUUCAAAUACAAACAAUAAUGAUGAAAUAGAUUUUGAAUUUUUGGGCAAUAGAGAAGGCAAACCAUAUAGUUUGCAAACAAAUAUGUUUGUAAAUGGUGGUGGAAAUAGAGAACAAAGGGUGCAUCUUUGGUUUGAUCCAACUGCAGAAUUUCACAAUUAUAAAAUCAUGUGGAAUGAACAUCAAAUAGUGUAAGAUAAUUAUGUACAAUUUAUGUUAUAUAAUGCAUGUUUUUACGUCGGUAUGAAUUAGCGGAUUUUGAUUUUUCUAAUCCCUAUAUUCUUGAUCCAAUGCUGAGACAUAGUAUAUUCGUUCUAUCUUUCAUGACUUGUUAAUGAUAUAUAGGAGGUGUGAUACUAUAUAUGUUUUUCUUUUUAAAAAAUAAAUUAUUUUUCACCUAGUGUUUGGUAUUCAAAGUUGAGGCUUGAUUAAAUUCAAAUUUGAAUCAGAAAAUCUCACAUUGAGAGGUGAAGUUGUCCCUAAUAAAAGUGACUUCAUACCUAGAAGGACUCAUACCCGAGAUCUUUUGUUAAAAAUGAAGGAAUACUUACCACUCCACCAUAACAGACUUGAUUUAUAUAUGUUGUUCAUUUGAGUUGAAUCUUCUUUACCAUGUUGUUAUAACAUGUGUUGUCGAUCAAUCUUAGAAGAUGUUUGACUAAGCUUAUAUAAAAACGGGUGAAAAUUACCUUAUGAACACUUUUGGGCUUAUUGGCACAUCUGAUAACAUUAGAAGUGCUUUAUAAGCCAAAAUUAAUCAUAGGUUAAUUAUUCUUAAACUAAGUAACUUUACAACUUAUAAGUACUUUCGAUUUGAUCAAGUUUUCUAUAAUUAAAUCCUUAGCAUCUUUUGUAAUGCCCGAAGUACUCUUUCUAAAUCUUUUAGAAAUUUUCAUCAUAUCUUAUUCUAUUUCCAUCUUUCAUUCCUUUUUUAUAUAAAAAUUCAUUUUUUUUAUAUUUUCCAUAUAAAUAGCUUUAAGGAUAUUUUAGUUUUUUCAAUAAAAAGUGCUUAUCAACACCACCUCCUUUUUUUUA